Molecule: ribosomal RNA, 545 nt
Filed under: Enterobacter asburiae
Lineage: Bacteria; Pseudomonadati; Pseudomonadota; Gammaproteobacteria; Enterobacterales; Enterobacteriaceae
Description: bacterial SSU rRNA
Rfam family: Bacterial small subunit ribosomal RNA
Source: RNAcentral
AAAUUGAAGAGUUUGAUCAUGGCUCAGAUUGAACGCUGGCGGCAGGCCUAACACAUGCAAGUCGAGCGGUAACACAGGGAGCUUGCUCCCGGGUGACGAGCGGCGGACGGGUGAGUAAUGUCUGGGAAACUGCCUGAUGGAGGGGGAUAACUACUGGAAACGGUAGCUAAUACCGCAUAACGUCGCAAGACCAAAGAGGGGGACCUUCGGGCCUCUUGCCAUCAGAUGUGCCCAGAUGGGAUUAGCUAGUAGGUGGGGUAACGGCCCACCUAGGCGACGAUCCCUAGCUGGUCUGAGAGGAUGACCAGCCACACUGGAACUGAGACACGGUCCAGACUCCUACGGGAGGCAGCAGUGGGGAAUAUUGCACAAUGGGCGCAAGCCUGAUGCAGCCAUGCCGCGUGUAUGAAGAAGGCCUUCGGGUUGUAAAGUACUUUCAGCGGGGAGGAAGGUGCUGAGGUUAAUAACCUCAGCAAUUGACGUUACCCGCAGAAGAAGCACCGGCUAACUCCGUGCCAGCAGCCGCGGUAAUACGGAGGGUGCAA